RNAcentral lists this ribosomal RNA (478 nucleotides) under uncultured bacterium. Its description in RNAcentral is "partial 16S ribosomal RNA". It matches the Rfam family "Bacterial small subunit ribosomal RNA", at positions 28 to 507 of the family's 1533-position model. The record is from RNAcentral.
GAUGAACGCUGGCGGCGUGCUUAACACAUGCAAGUCGAACGGGAAACCUUUUAAUGAAGCUUCGGCAGAUUUAGCUGGUUUCUAGUGGCGGACGGGUGAGUAACGCGUGGGUAACCUGCCUUAUACAGGGGGAUAACAGUCAGAAAUGACUGCUAAUACCGCAUAAGCGCACAGGACCGCAUGGUCCGGUGUGAAAAACUCCGGUGGUAUAAGAUGGACCCGCGUUGGAUUAGCUUGUUGGUGGGGUAACGGCUCACCAAGGCGACGAUCCAUAGCCGGCCUGAGAGGGUGAACGGCCACAUUGGGACUGAGACACGGCCCAGACUCCUACGGGAGGCAGCAGUGGGGAAUAUUGCACAAUGGGGGAAACCCUGAUGCAGCGACGCCGCGUGAAGGAAGAAGUAUCUCGGUAUGUAAACUUCUAUCAGCAGGGAAGAUAGUGACGGUACCUGACUAAGAAGCUCCGGCUAACUACGUG